Molecule: transfer RNA, 71 nt
Filed under: Trichonephila clavata
Lineage: Eukaryota; Metazoa; Arthropoda; Arachnida; Araneae; Nephilidae
Rfam family: tRNA
About the family: Transfer RNA (tRNA) molecules are approximately 80 nucleotides in length. Their secondary structure includes four short double-helical elements and three loops (D, anti-codon, and T loops).
Source: Rfam by way of RNAcentral
AGGGGUGUAGUUAGUGGUAGAGCGUUCGCUUUGUAUGUGAAAGGCCCGGGGUUCGAUCCCCCGCACCUCCA